AAUUGACCUCGGAUCAGGUAGGGAU
RNAcentral lists this ribosomal RNA (25 nucleotides) under Polycauliona candelaria. RNAcentral's name for it is "partial large subunit ribosomal RNA". Lineage: Eukaryota; Fungi; Ascomycota; Lecanoromycetes; Teloschistales; Teloschistaceae. The record is from RNAcentral.